This 1705-nucleotide ribosomal RNA is filed under the name Chlorella sp. ArM0029B. RNAcentral's name for it is "small subunit ribosomal RNA". The record is from RNAcentral. Lineage: Eukaryota; Viridiplantae; Chlorophyta; Trebouxiophyceae; Chlorellales; Chlorellaceae.
AAAUAAUCCAGCUGCAGGUUCCCCUACAGCUACCUUGUUACGACUUCACACCAUUUACUAAUCUUAUAUUCGGCUUUCUUUUUAGAAAAAAAUCAUACGUCUCUCAUCAAGAUUGAAAAAGAUUAAAAAAAAAAAAGAGAAGACUUCCUACACUAUCAAUUCACAGUGUGUGACGGGCGGUGAGUACAAGGCUCAGGUACAAAUUCACCGUAGCGUGCUGAUCUACGAUUACUAGUGAUUCCGGCUUCAUGUUCUCGAGUUGCAGAGAACAAUCUGAACUAAGGUGAGUUUUUUGAGAUUUGCUCCGACUCUCAUCAUUGCUUCUCUUUGUCCUCACCAUUGUAACACGUGUGUAGCCCAGCCCAUAAGGGUCAUGAGGACUUGACGUGAUCCCUCCCUUCCUCUAGUCUAUCACCAGCUGUAUUUCCAUUUAAAAACUCAAAAAAAUUGAAUUUUUGAAUGAAAAGAGGGGUUUCGUUCGUUAAGGAAAUUAAUCCAACAUUUCACAACACGAACUGACGACAGCCAUGCAACACCUGUAAUCUUUACUCAAAUAAAUUUUUAUUUGGUUAUCUCAGGAUAACCUGAGAUUGUCAAAAGAUUAUGUCAAGGACUGGUAAGGUUUUGCGCGUUGUUUCGAAUUAAACCACAUGUUCCACCACUUGUGUGAGCCCCCGUCUAUUCCUUUGAGUUUUAGUCUUGCGACCGUACUCCUCAGGCGGACCUUUUUACGCGUUAGCUAAUACAAACGGUAAAACGAUCCACGCAAAUGAGUAAUUUCUUACUCAAGCACUUCCCUUUUUUUAUCUCUUUUUUUUUGCAAAAGAAAAGACCAAAAAGGACCAACCAGAGUUCUUUUACUUAGAGUAAAAGAAAAUGGUGUCUUUUUUUGACAAAAAAGAAUCGUGUUGCUUUGUGGAAAGUCUACUAUUUAUAGAAAGGUCAUCGUUGACGGCGUGGACUACAGGGGUAUCUAAUCCCUUUUGAUCCCCACGCUGUCGCACCUCAACGUCAGUGAAGCCCCAGAGAAUUGCCUUCGCUUUUGGUGUUCCUCCUGAUAUCAACAAAUUUUACCUCUACGCCAGGAAUUCCAUUCUCCUCUAGCUCACUCGAGUUUAGGAAUCAUUAAGAUAAGUUUCAAAGUAAAGCUUUGAGUUUUUUAUCCCUGAUUUUCUAAACAGCCUACGUGCGCUUUACGCCCAAUCAUUCCGAAUAACGCUCGCCCCUCUCGUAUUACCGCGGCUGCUGGCACGAAAUUGGCCGGGACUUUUUUCUUAAACUUUGUCAUAAUCUCUGUUUAAGUAAAGGGCUUUACAACCAAGACAGUCUUCAUCACCCACGCGAUCUAGCUGGAUCAGGCUUUCGCCCAUUGUCCAAGAUUCCUCACUGCUGCCGCUCGGAAGCGUCUGGGCCGUGUCUCAGUCCCAGUGUGGCUGAUCAUCCUCUCAGACCAGCUAAGGAUCUUCGGCUUGGUAAGCUUUUACCCUACCAACUACCUAAUCCUACGCAAGCUCAUCUCACAACGUCUUUUGACUUUAUUUAACAGAGUUAAAUUAUCCAAGAUUCAGAUAAAUCUUUGCUUGGUUUGUGAGGUAGAUUCUUACGCGUUACUCACCCGUUCGCUACUCUAAGUACCCGACUUAGCGUUCAACUUGCAUGUGUUAAGCUUAUCGCUAGCGUUCAUUCUGAGCCAGGAUCAAACUCA